RNAcentral lists this ribosomal RNA (640 nucleotides) under uncultured Streptomyces sp. RNAcentral's name for it is "bacterial SSU rRNA". It matches the Rfam family "Bacterial small subunit ribosomal RNA", at positions 235 to 885 of the family's 1533-position model. Lineage: Bacteria; Bacillati; Actinomycetota; Actinomycetes; Kitasatosporales; Streptomycetaceae. The record is from RNAcentral.
GGCCUAUCAGCUUGUUGGUGGGGUAAUGGCCUACCAAGGCGACGACGGGUAGCCGGCCUGAGAGGGCGACCGGCCACACUGGGACUGAGACACGGCCCAGACUCCUACGGGAGGCAGCAGUGGGGAAUAUUGCACAAUGGGCGAAAGCCUGAUGCAGCGACGCCGCGUGAGGGAUGACGGCCUUCGGGUUGUAAACCUCUUUCAGCAGGGAAGAAGCGCAAGUGACGGUACCUGCAGAAGAAGCGCCGGCUAACUACGUGCCAGCAGCCGCGGUAAUACGUAGGGCGCAAGCGUUGUCCGGAAUUAUUGGGCGUAAAGAGCUCGUAGGCGGCUUGUCACGUCGGAUGUGAAAGCCCGGGGCUUAACCCCGGGUCUGCAUUCGAUACGGGCUAGCUAGAGUGUGGUAGGGGAGAUCGGAAUUCCUGGUGUAGCGGUGAAAUGCGCAGAUAUCAGGAGGAACACCGGUGGCGAAGGCGGAUCUCUGGGCCAUUACUGACGCUGAGGAGCGAAAGCGUGGGGAGCGAACAGGAUUAGAUACCCUGGUAGUCCACGCCGUAAACGUUGGGAACUAGGUGUUGGCGACAUUCCACGUCGUCGGUGCCGCAGCUAACGCAUUAAGUUCCCCGCCUGGGGAGUACGG